CGGUGGAGCAUGUGGUUAAUCGAAGCAACGCGAAGAACCUUACCAGGUCUUGACAUCCCCUGACAACCCGAGAGAUCGGGCGUUCCCCUUCGGGGGGACAGGGUGACAGGUGGUGCAUGGUUGUCGUCAGCUCGUGUCGUGAGAUGUUGGGUUAAGUCCCGCAACGAGCGCAACCCUCGACCUUAGUUGCCAGCAUUCAGUUGGGCACUCUAAGGUGACUGCCGGCUAAAAGUCGGAGGAAGUGGGGAUGACGUCAAAUCAUCAUGCCCCUUAUGACCUGGGCUACACACGUGCUACAAUGGGCGGUACAAAGGGUCGCGAACCCGCGAGGGGGAGCCAAUCCCAAAAAGCCGCUCUCAGUUCGGAUUGCAGGCUGCAACUCGCCUGCAUGAAGCCGGAAUCGCUAGUAAUCGCGGAUCAGCAUGCCGCGGUGAAUACGUUCCCGGGCCUU
This 451-nucleotide ribosomal RNA is filed under the name uncultured Anoxybacillus sp. Its description in RNAcentral is "bacterial SSU rRNA". It matches the Rfam family "Bacterial small subunit ribosomal RNA", at positions 930 to 1382 of the family's 1533-position model. The record is from RNAcentral. Lineage: Bacteria; Bacillati; Bacillota; Bacilli; Caryophanales; Anoxybacillaceae.